CAUCCCAUAGCUGACGUUCUUAUUACAGGAGAGGAAACUGAGGCUGGAUGGGGCUUGAGAAAAGUGCUACACAAGGAAGCGGCGGACUUUGGAGGCAGAAGUUUCACUUUAUGACGAUGCCAAGUUAGCCAUUGGCCUUUGCAGUGCCUGAAAUGACCGAGUUAGGCAAGGCUUACACUGGGAAAAUUAUUCCCACCGAUCAGCAAGCAAUUAUUGAGGAUUUACAGUUGCAGUGCUAUCAGGGGCUGCAGAUGCCCACGGGAAAAGAGACCAGAGCUGAGUCACACAGAAGAGUCCACGAGAGAAGACAGCUCCUCAGCAUCUCACUAAUGCAUU
RNAcentral lists this long non-coding RNA (336 nucleotides) under Pan troglodytes (chimpanzee). Its description in RNAcentral is "long non-coding RNA NONPTRT015543". The record is from RNAcentral. Lineage: Eukaryota; Metazoa; Chordata; Mammalia; Primates; Hominidae.